This 443-nucleotide ribosomal RNA is filed under the name uncultured bacterium. RNAcentral describes it as "partial 16S ribosomal RNA". It matches the Rfam family "Bacterial small subunit ribosomal RNA", at positions 338 to 795 of the family's 1533-position model. The record is from RNAcentral.
CCUACGGGUGGCAGCAGUGGGGAAUAUUGGGCAAUGGGCGCAAGCCUGACCCAGCAACGCCGCGUGAAGGAAGAAGGCUUUCGGGUUGUAAACUUCUUUUCUCAGGGACGAAGAAAGUGACGGUACCUGAGGGAUAAGCCACGGCUAACUACGUGCCAGCAGCCGCGGUAAUACGUAGGUGGCAAGCGUUAUCCGGAUUCAUUGGGUGUAAAGGGCGUGUAGGCGGGAGCGCAAGUCAGAUGUGAAAACUCAGGGCUCAACCCUGAGCCUGCAUUUGAAACUGUGUUUCUUGAGUGCUGGAGAGGCAAUCGGAAUUCCGGGUGUAGCGGUGAAAUGCGUAGAUAUACGGAGGAACACCAGUGGCGAAGGCGGAUUGCUGGACAGUAACUGACGCUGAGGCGCGAAAGCGUGGGGAGCAAACAGGAUUAGAUACCCGGGUAGUC